AUUGAACGCUGGCGGCAUGCUUUACACAUGCAAGUCGAACGGCAACGAGGAGAAGCUUGCUUCUCUGUCGGCGAGUGGCGAACGGGUGAGUAUAGCAUCGGAACGUGCCAAGUAGUGGGGGAUAACCAAACGAAAGUUUGGCUAAUACCGCGUGAGCUCCAAGGAGGAAAGUAGGGGACCUAAAUAAGGCCUUACGCUAUUUGAUCGGCCGAUGUCGGAUUAGCUAGUUGGUGGGGUAAUGGCUCACCAAGGCAAUGAUCCGUAGCGGGUCUGAGAGGACGAUCCGCCACACUGGGACUGAGACACGGCCCAGACUCCUACGGGAGGCAGCAGUGGGGAAUUUUGGACAAUGGGGGAAACCCUGAUCCAGCCAUGCCGCGUGUAUGAAGAAGGCCUUAGGGUUGUAAAGUACUUUUGUUAGGGAAGAAAAGCUAGUUUUUAAUAAAAAUUAGUGAUGACGGUACCUAAAGAAUAAGCACCGGCUAACUACGUG
This 493-nucleotide ribosomal RNA is filed under the name uncultured bacterium. RNAcentral describes it as "partial 16S ribosomal RNA". It matches the Rfam family "Bacterial small subunit ribosomal RNA", at positions 30 to 507 of the family's 1533-position model. The record is from RNAcentral.